GACGAACGCUGGCGGCGUGCUUAACACAUGCAAGUCGAACGGAAAGGCCCCUGUAAUGGUACUCGCGUGGCGAACGGGGGAGUAACACGUGAGUAACCUGCCCUUGACUUCGGGAUAACUUCAGGAAACUGGGUCUAAUACCGGAUAGGAAUCCUUGCUGCAUGGUGGGGGUUGGAAAGCUUCGGCGGUUUUGGAUGGACUGGCGGCUUAUCAGCUUGUUGGUGGGGUAGUGGCUUACCAAGGCUUUGACGGGUAGCCGGCCGGAGAGGGCGACCGGCCACCUUGGGACUGAGAUAAGGCACAGACUGCUACGGGAGGACGAAGUGGGGAAUAUUGAACAAUGGGCGGCAGCCUGAUGAAGCAAGGCCGCGUGUGGGAUGACGGCCUUCUGGUUGUCAACCGCUUUCAGCAUGAGCGAAGCUUGUGAUGACGGUACCUGAAGAAGAAGCACCGGCUAACUACGUG
RNAcentral lists this ribosomal RNA (465 nucleotides) under uncultured bacterium. RNAcentral describes it as "partial 16S ribosomal RNA". It matches the Rfam family "Bacterial small subunit ribosomal RNA", at positions 28 to 507 of the family's 1533-position model. The record is from RNAcentral.